GGGAUAACAGGCUGAUCUCCCCCAAGAGUUCACAUCGACGGGGAGGUUUGGCACCUCGAUGUCGGCUCAUCGCAUCCUGGGGCUGAAGCGGGUCCCAAGGGUCGGGCUGUUCGCCCGUUAAAGCGGUACGAGAGUUGGGUUCAGAACGUCGUGAGACAGUUCGGUCCCUAUCUGUUGUGGGCGUAGGAGAUUUGAGAGGGUCUGUCUCUAGUACGAGAGGAUUGAGAUGGACGGACCUCUAGUGUGCCGGUUGUCGCGCCAGCGGCAGCGCCGGGUAGCUAUGUCCGGUUUGGAUAACCGCUGAAAGCAUCUAAGCGGGAAGCCAGCCUCAAGAUAAGAUCUCCCGGAGGGUAACCUCCCUAAAGGCUACUCGUAGACGACGAGUUUGAUAGGCUGGAUGUGGAAGAGCUGUAAGGCUUGAAGCUAACCAGUACUAAUCGGCCGUGCGACUUAACAUC
Molecule: ribosomal RNA, 458 nt
Filed under: Nitrospira sp.
Lineage: Bacteria; Pseudomonadati; Nitrospirota; Nitrospiria; Nitrospirales; Nitrospiraceae
Description: partial 23S ribosomal RNA
Rfam family: Bacterial large subunit ribosomal RNA
Source: RNAcentral